Molecule: ribosomal RNA, 481 nt
Filed under: uncultured bacterium
Lineage: Bacteria
Description: partial 16S ribosomal RNA
Rfam family: Bacterial small subunit ribosomal RNA
Source: RNAcentral
GAUGAACGCUGGCGGCGUGCUUAACACAUGCAAGUCGAACGAAGCACUUUAUUUGAUUUCCUUCGGGACUGAUUAUUUUGUGACUGAGUGGCGGACGGGUGAGUAACGCGUGGGUAACCUGCCUUGUACAGGGGGAUAACAGUUGGAAACGGCUGCUAAUACCGCAUAAGCGCACAGCAUCGCAUGAUGCAGUGUGAAAAACUCCGGUGGUAUAAGAUGGACCCGCGUUGGAUUAGCUAGUUGGUGAGGUAACGGCCCACCAAGGCGACGAUCCAUAGCCGACCUGAGAGGGUGACCGGCCACAUUGGGACUGAGACACGGCCCAAACUCCUACGGGAGGCAGCAGUGGGGAAUAUUGCACAAUGGGCGAAAGCCUGAUGCAGCGACGCCGCGUGAGCGAAGAAGUAUUUCGGUAUGCAAAGCUCUAUCAGCAGGGAAGAUAAUGACGGUACCUGACUAAGAAGCACCGGCUAAAUACGUG